Molecule: ribosomal RNA, 459 nt
Filed under: uncultured bacterium
Lineage: Bacteria
Description: partial 16S ribosomal RNA
Rfam family: Bacterial small subunit ribosomal RNA
Source: RNAcentral
CCUACGGGAGGCUGCAGUGAGGAAUAUUGGUCAAUGGACGAGAGUCUGAACCAGCCAAGUCGCGUGAAGGAUGACUGUCCUAUGGGUUGUAAACUUCUUUUAUAUGGGAAUAAAACAGGGUAUGCAUACCAUCUUGUAUGUACCAUAUGAAUAAGGAUCGGCUAACUCCGUGCCAGCAGCCGCGGUAAUACGGAGGAUGCGAGCGUUAUCCGGAUUUAUUGGGUUAAAAGGGUGCGUAGGCGGAAUGCCAAGUCAGCGGUAAAAUUGCGGGGCUCAACCCCGCCCCGCCGUUGAAACUGGCGGUCUUGAGUGGGCGAGAAGUAUGCGGAACGCGUGGUGUAGCGGUGAAAUGCAUAGAUAUCACGCAGAACUCCGAUUGCGAAGGCAGCAGACCGGCGCCCAACUGACGCUGAGGCACGAAAGCGUGGGUAUCGAACAGGAUUAGAUACCCGAGUAGUC